AAGACCUUGCGCUUUUGGAGCGGCCGAUGCCUGAUUAGCUUGUUGGUAAGGUAAAAGCUUACCAAGGCUUCGAUCAGUAGCUGGUCUGAGAGGACGGCCAGCCACACUGGGACUGAGACACGGCCCAGACUCCUACGGGAGGCAGCAGUGGGGAAUUUUGGACAAUGGGGGCAACCCUGAUCCAGCCAUGCCGCGUGAGUGAAGAAGGCCUUCGGGUUGUAAAGCUCUUUCAGCCGGGAAGAAAAGGUUGCGACUAAUAAUCGCAAUCCAUGACGGUACCGAAAGAAGAAGCACCGGCUAACUACGUGCCAGCAGCCGCGGUAAUGCGUAGGGUGCAAGCGUUAAUCGGAAUUACUGGGCGUAAAGCGUGCGCAGGUGGUUUUGUAAGUCAGAUGUGAAAUCCCCGGGCUUAACCUGGGAACU
This 423-nucleotide ribosomal RNA is filed under the name uncultured bacterium. RNAcentral describes it as "bacterial SSU rRNA". It matches the Rfam family "Bacterial small subunit ribosomal RNA", at positions 207 to 622 of the family's 1533-position model. The record is from RNAcentral.